Long non-coding RNA from Drosophila miranda, 1028 nucleotides. RefSeq lists it as uncharacterized. NCBI's taxonomy places the organism in Eukaryota, Metazoa, Arthropoda, Insecta, Diptera, Drosophilidae. The transcript has 3 exons. The record is from RefSeq and is a predicted model, not a curated record.
AAAUACUGCCUUUUUCCACCCCACAGCUUAUUUUGUUCAAAGAUAAUUUGAACCAAAUAGGCUGUGGGGGUGUUUUCUAGUGCGCAUUUUGUUUUUUUCCUUUUUGCGGGGUAACGGAGAAGAAUAUCGAACUUUUUUUUUGAUUGGUAAGAUAAGUAAAAUCUUAACAGAAUUGUAUAACAAUUUUUUUUAUAGGACUGCUCAAUUGAUUUUUUAGGGGUUUAUACAUAUGUAUAAACUUCAGCGGUCGGCACGCACACAUUACAUUGCGUUUGUGUGCGUUGACAGAAGUCAAACUAAAACAAAAAGUAUUAUUGUGUUGCUGCCGACCACUGUUACAAACGCGUUGUGCCGGGUCGCAGUUUGACAUGAUCGUUCAUGUUCUAUUACGUGAUCCGGUGUUUCUUGCGAAUCAUGCCCGCUUUAAGUCCGUUUGCGAGACUUUGGUCGUCGCUCGGUUUUUGACCGGAGGGACCAAAAAGCAUAUCCGUGUUUAAGAGGUCAACUAGAACCACGAGCUCAGUAGAAGCUUAUAAUUUGAAUUUGGGAAAUAAAAUUCAAACAAAUGGGCACUUUUUUAAAUUUGUUCAAUGUCUUAUUGAUGCAGAAUAUGAAAAAAGUCGCGAGUUUGCUUUACUCUUUCAAAAUGGUGGUAAUGGAAAUCAGAAACAGAAGAAGAAACUACGUGAUCGCUCAAAAAAAAUAAUGGACGCAAUGGAUCUUUUUGAAAGAGGUGAAAUAGAUAUACAGGGAUUUCUGACAUGCACUGUUUCCUUAGCUGACCGCUUUUCAAAGCAUGACUUCUUUGAAGGGGUGGACAAUGAAAGCAAUUUAACUGGAAUGUCUUCUGAUAUGAAAUCUUCCACAUCGUCACUUUCAUCGAAUGCUUCUCAUUCAAGUCAGUCAUCUGAUAAAUCAUUGGUUCAAAUGAAUCCAUGCAAUGUGUGCCUAUGUAACCCAAAGUCUGUGUUGUUGCGCCCGUGCAAUCACGUAAACAUUUGUGGUACAUGUUGGGAUCAAAUUGUGGC